CCUACGGGAGGCAGCAGUGAGGAAUAUUGGUCAAUGGCCGGAAGGCUGAACCAGCCAUGCCGCGUGAAGGUCAGUGCCCUAUGGGCGUUAAACUUCUUUUGUGCGGGAGCAAUAAUGGUCACGUGUGGCCAGACGAGAGUACCGUACGAAUAAGCAUCGGCUAACUUCGUGCCAGCAGCCGCGGUAAUACGGGGGAUGCAGGCGUUAUCCGGAUUUAUUGGGUUUAAAGGGUGCGUAGGCUGUGAGGUAAGUCAGCGGUGAAAUGCCUCCGCUCAACGGGGUGAAGUGCCAUUGAUACUGGCUGGCUGGAAUGCGGAUGCCGUGGGAGGAAUGUGUGGUGUAGCGGUGAAAUGCAUAGAUAUCACACAGAACACCGAUUGCGAAGGCAUCUCACGAAUCCGCGAUUGACGCUGAUGCACGAAAGCGUGGGUAUCAAACAGGAUUAGAUACCCCGGUAGUC
Molecule: ribosomal RNA, 460 nt
Filed under: uncultured bacterium
Lineage: Bacteria
Description: partial 16S ribosomal RNA
Rfam family: Bacterial small subunit ribosomal RNA
Source: RNAcentral